UACUGAGCUGCCCCGAGGCCCUGUAUUGCCCCGCUCGGGGCAGCUCAGUACAGGGUGCGUCGGGGCGGGAGUGAGCGGGAGCCAGGAGGCCUCGUGGCCCGGCCGGUGCUACCCAGGCUGCCGCUGGUCAGACCCCAGGCCCGCCCUGGCGCCACCGAGAGCAGCCCCUGGCUUUGCACGCUCGGCAGAAAGCAGGGCCUCUGCCUCCGAGCCACCGAGGUGCUGACUCUGCGCUUCCUGAUAUAUCUCAGCACUUGGGCAAAAAGAGGACUGGCGGAUCCAGUUACAGGAUAAAAUUAGACCUGACUCCUCAGCAGCUUAAGGAGGUCACCGCGUUAACCCUGGCACUGCCAAGCGGUCCGCCGGGCUGCUGGUUUCGAUGGUCCUAGAAAUAAUCGCAAGACGCAGAGAGGGAUUUCAAAGGGCAGAGAGGGGAGAGAAAAGGGACACUGUCCUGCCCUGUUUUCUUACGGCCGCAGCCGCAGCUUUGCUUGGGAGCGUGUCGAGCUGGGUUUCUGCUGACGUCCCGGGACGGGAGGGGGCACCCCACAAGGCCAGCUGUGGGGGAAGGAGGGAACGUGGGAUCUUGUUGGCGUGCUGUAGGUGAUCUGCAGAGUGGCUGAAGCCCCCGCAGGUGACUGGCGACCAGGCCACGGCGCUGGGCCGUCUGCCAGUGAAGGCAGGGGGAGCAUGUGGUUGGGAGGGAGCGGCAAGGGGCAGGCGAGCACUGUCCCCUCCCGGCCAGGGCAGAGGCUGCAGAGGCGAGUGAGGGCUGCAGCCUCUCGGGGCCCGUUUACCCCACCCCCUCGCAAUCAUGUGUAGUGGAUCCUCGUUGCUAAACUUCAUUUGUGACCCCAAAGCUAGCAAUCACCAGGCUCCCGCCGUCCUUCACAGACACAAACAGGCCCGGCGUGCACAUGCCCGGCUGGGUUUGCACAAGGUGGUGACAGUCUGCCUCCUAGCGCCAGCUCUGAGACUGUAAGUAGGUGUUGUGUGGUCUGUUUAGGGUGAAACUUUCUGCAUUUCUGUGCUCCCAGUUGGCGUCUUGUUGGUUGUGUAAAGUGGCCGCGAGGGGGGCUGCGGUGCUGUCGCGAGUUGCUGAGGCAGGAAGGCUGCGCCUUGGGCGGGCGUAGGCGUGUGAGGCCAGCUUGGUUCAGGGACGCGUUGUGUCCGCGGUGGAGAGGUUGGCGUUAAUGAAUCAAGCAGAUAUAUUAAAUAAUGUGUCUUCGACACACUGACUGGCCACACUAGAAAAAAACUUUCCCUGGGGCCAUGGUGUUUUCUUAAAACAAAACGAUCCUUUCUGAUUAGUUUUUUUUUAGUGUCUGCGUGUGAGUCAUAUACGACACAAUUCACGUUUUUAGGAUUAAGCUGUCAAUGUUAAUGGUAAGAAUAAGAACAUCAUCAACAAGUAAGAUUUUCACGAGCCAGCUGCAGGGUUUCACUUCACAAGGCCCCAGACUCAAAAGCAGCGUGAGUUAAAUACAACUCGCACGGCAGUUAAGUGUGUCAAACGGGGACACACAUAAAGCAAAGUUAUGUAUUCAUCGGUUGAUAAAAAACACUGUGACCAGAGGCUCAAAGGAGUCUGAGGAGCAGCUGCUGCACAUUCACUAAUUCAGUGUUCACGGUGACGUUCUAGAACAUAACCUCAAAUAAUGAGACUCGACUGUGUGUUCCGAGAGUGAGAGUGAGGCUAGGGAGUCUAGAUUCAAGGCCUGCCUCCUCCUGUUUCCAGGGCCACACCUCGACACCCAAGCCCUGACUGCGCCACUCCGCCAUGCACACCAGGAGAGCGGCCCCAGGUGACGGAAGCAGCACACCUGUCCCUCUAGGCUGCCGGCAUGACCUCCGUGAGGGACUUCCUUCGGUCCCCGUCCGCAUGAGCGACUGACUGUACACGCAUGACCUACAGGCUUCCAUCCCGCCUCUAGUGACAACAGGGGACGCAGGACGGGCGCGGCGAGGAGGGGAGAGAGAGAGAGAAGCCAGCGGGAGCGCGUGGGGCACAAAAGCGAAUAAGGGCUUUUCUAUGGCUGGGGAUGGUUUUUGUUUUUCGGGUUUUUUUUUUUUUAAUUGUUUUGAUUUUGACUUCGUACAGGGUACCGUUUUUUCAACUUCAUCUGUCAGGAAUCUGUGUGGGCUUCCUGGGGGGGGGAAGAAAAGAGAACUAGGCAUGAAAUCAGUUGUCCACGCCUCAGUCCCCUGUCCCCACCCGCCAGCCUCCCGUCCCGCGUGGCCGUUCCGUGUGACAGCCCCUCCACUCCCCGGUGGACGCCGCUCCCAGCACACCCCGCGUGACAUUCGGGACACGCUCGCACGCACCUCUCCCCUCCCUCUGCUCGGCACACACGGAUUUUUGCCGUGACAUCGAAGCUGUGUAGAAUCUCCUAUGGAUAAACCGGAAAUUUUUUUUUUUUUUUAUGUUGUGUCUCUGCCAAUUUCAGCAUUCAUCAUCUUCCAGUGGAAAACCAUUAUUACCUUUAGGGUGCAUUCGGGGUUCCUCGUGCACUGGGGCGAGGACCCCAGGCUUGCUUUAGGGCUAGAGGGGGCCAGUGCCUCACCCGAGGGGUCUCCUCGCUCAGGCGGGCCCUGGCGGCAGCCGUCCGGGGACGCACCAGCAUGUUCAGUAGAGACGGCGAGGUUUCCUCCAUCCCCGAGCAUAUAUCAUAGUCCGUGUUCACAGUGUAACCUGUGCAGUAUCAGCCUUGUGUAUACGAGAAACAAUAAAUACUAUGCAAACCAAUA
This is a non-coding RNA of Microcebus murinus (gray mouse lemur), 2748 nucleotides long. NCBI's taxonomy places the organism in Eukaryota, Metazoa, Chordata, Mammalia, Primates, Cheirogaleidae. The record is from RefSeq and is a predicted model, not a curated record.